AGGGCCAUAUCUCGUUGAAACGCCAGUUCCCGUACGAUCACCAACGUUAAGCAACGUCGAACCUGGUCAGUACCUAGAUGGGUGACCCUUGGGGAUGCCA
Molecule: non-coding RNA, 100 nt
Organism: Acanthosepion pharaonis
Lineage: Eukaryota; Metazoa; Mollusca; Cephalopoda; Sepiida; Sepiidae
Source: the annotation of a GenBank genome assembly